Salvia miltiorrhiza (redroot sage) is the source of this 1877-nucleotide long non-coding RNA. RefSeq lists it as uncharacterized. NCBI's taxonomy places the organism in Eukaryota, Viridiplantae, Streptophyta, Magnoliopsida, Lamiales, Lamiaceae. The record is from RefSeq and is a predicted model, not a curated record. The transcript is spliced from 4 exons.
ACGCCUAAGUAUUCCCUCUCAAAUUUUCACUCCUAAGUAUCAAUUCCCUCUAAAAAGCAGAAAACACAGCAGCUUCGCACCGCCACCUGCCGCCCCACCCGACCGUCGCGCCACCUGACGUCCCACCCCACCCCACCGUCUCUCCACCUGCCGUCCUACCCCACCCCACCGUCGCACCAACGGUCGUCCCACCCCACCAUCGCACAACUGACGCCUCCGCCACCAAGCCCUCCGCAGCGCCAUCCUCUGACUCCCUCUGCUGUCGUCGACGACGAGGAAGAUUAUGAUGCAUGCUUGAUGGUUAGAGUGGAGACAAUGAAGAGGCAUCUUCCUUUAUCUGGACUAGAGGGAGCUCUGGAAAUCGAAAUUGUUGUAUAAACUUGGCACUUUGAGACCGUUUGAAGCAAUGAAAUUUAUUUACUCACAUGAAGGAAAGUAGUUCUAUUUUAUGUCUGUUGUUGUUGGUUGCAUUCCUUAUAUAUCAUGUAAAUGUCAUUGAAGCAUUUCUAUAUAUUUCUAGAUUUCAACUUCUUUAGUUGUAGAAUUUCCACAAUUGCCUUCGUUUUGGCUUCGACUUUGGGUAAUAAUUGCUUCAACUUUGCUCGAUUUUCAGUGUGAUUUAAAUUUCAUUUUUUGUGUUAGGUGCUGAGAGGUGGACAAAAGUGUAGAGUUGAAGAAAUUGGGAGCAAGGUACUCCAUCAAAAUUAAAAGUGGAAAAAGAAUGUUUCUCGCCAUACCCUACAGCAGCUACUCCACCAGCUGUAACUUAUGACUGAAAUUAAUCGAGGCUUUGCUGUUCUGAGGGACAUUGCGCCCGGAAAGGCUUUGCUUCAAGGUAACCAUCAUGAGUUGUAUGCUGAAUCUAGAAUAAAUAUUACUAGUUCUCGUUGCCUUAUGGUGAUAAUAGGUCUCUGAACUAGAAGGAGCAACUAGGUCACGUCGUGCAAUGAUUUUGAGCAACUCCAGAGUUGCAGAUGGUGCCUCUGAUAUUCUGGCUUUCAUAAGGCUUCUUAGAUAAGGCUUCAGACUUGCGGUGUUGGUAGGUCUUCCCUUCUAGUGCCAAUCUAAUCUAUAUCCUAUCAACGCCGGUUCUGCUCAUCUCUAUCUUAUAGUGUAAUAUAUGUGCUGCAAAGAAAAGAUAAGGUUGCAGCAAGGCACUAAUGAAGCCAAAUCUCCCACUGUAAGUGAUCAAAUCUCAAAUUUGAUCAAAAACUCAACCAAAAUACAUUGCAGAAGCAGAUUUUUUGGUUAAUUAGUAAGUUCUCUUUCCCUUUUUCAUCUUUCUAGGGAUUCUUGAAUUGAAGCAGAAGGGUGUUUUAGAAUUGUGAUGGCCAAUAGAGGUCUCCCUUUUUCUAAUAUUCUCUUAAUGGUUUAUCAAUUCCAGUUGUGAUGUUAAUCUCGAUGUUGUUGUUAUUGAGUUUCUAAUACAUUGUGCUUGUGUUUUAUUUCAACGCAAUUGUGUGGGAAGCAAAAUUUAUACUGUUUUGCUCAUAUAAUUAUGCUGGAUUGGCCACUGUGAUUAUGACUUUAGUAGAAGUUGUUUAUCUAUAUGCUAUUGUUGUAAAUUGUAGGAAUUAAUGCACCAACGUCGCAGUCGUUCUUGAAUUAUGUAUUAUUGGUAUUGGUCUAUAGAAGCAUUAUGCUCUAUUGAAGACGACCUCUGAAGGUUUGUGGUGGAUUAAAUGAGCCGUACGUUGAGCUGAAGAGGCUUGUGAAUUCACAAGAAAUGUUGUACCAUAUGGCUAGCUAGUUGCAUAUUUAAUAUGUUUAGUAUUUUUGUAAGGCAUAAUAGUAUAGAUAAAGCAGUUGUUGAAUUUUGGCUAUAUUCAAAUCUUGUAUGAAUUCUUUUUUAUGAUAAUAAUAUAAAAUUAAAUAUU